Molecule: signal recognition particle RNA, 246 nt
Filed under: Pfiesteria piscicida
Lineage: Eukaryota; Dinophyceae; Peridiniales; Pfiesteriaceae
Description: partial 7SL
Rfam family: Metazoan signal recognition particle RNA (bases 2-215)
About the family: The signal recognition particle (SRP) is a universally conserved ribonucleoprotein. It is involved in the co-translational targeting of proteins to membranes.
Source: RNAcentral
AAUUGGGUGAUKUCCASAUUACCUGUGAAAGGAUGACAGUGUGUGUGAUGGGCACCCCUUAAUCAAACCAGUGGUCUGCAAGGUCGCUUCGGCGGAGGCUGGGGCGAUCUGGCAGGUAAUGAUCUGGGCACUGGCUCAGGCUGGCAACAGAGCAGGCAAAACCAGACACCACUGCGGAGUGAUCAGAUCAGGAGCCCAAGCACCACUGUCAACCUACCCACAGCUCUCGCCACACAACUCCACCUU